RNAcentral lists this transfer RNA (74 nucleotides) under Chrysiogenales bacterium. RNAcentral's name for it is "tRNA-Arg". It matches the Rfam family "tRNA". From Rfam's summary of the family: Transfer RNA (tRNA) molecules are approximately 80 nucleotides in length. Their secondary structure includes four short double-helical elements and three loops (D, anti-codon, and T loops). Further hydrogen bonds mediate the characteristic L-shaped molecular structure. tRNAs have two regions of fundamental functional importance: the anti-codon, which is responsible for specific mRNA codon recognition, and the 3' end, to which the tRNAs corresponding amino acid is attached (by aminoacyl-tRNA synthetases). tRNAs cope with the degeneracy of the genetic code in two manners: having more than one tRNA (with a specific anti-codon) for a particular amino acid; and 'wobble' base-pairing, i.e. permitting non-standard base-pairing at the 3rd anti-codon position. Lineage: Bacteria; Pseudomonadati; Chrysiogenota; Chrysiogenia; Chrysiogenales. The record is from RNAcentral.
GCGCCUGUAGCUCAGCUGGAUAGAGCGCCGGACUUCGAAUCCGUAGGCCGAAGGUUCGACUCCUUCCAGGCGCG